Molecule: ribosomal RNA, 253 nt
Filed under: uncultured bacterium
Lineage: Bacteria
Description: partial 16S ribosomal RNA
Rfam family: Bacterial small subunit ribosomal RNA
Source: RNAcentral
UACGAAGGGGGCUAGCGUUGCUCGGAAUUACUGGGCGUAAAGGGCGCGUAGGCGGACAGUUUAGUCAGAGGUGAAAGCCCAGGGCUCAACCUUGGAACUGCCUUUGAUACUGGGGAUCUUGAGUCCGGGAGAGGUGAGUGGAACUGCGAGUGUAGAGGUGAAAUUCGUAGAUAUUCGCAAGAACACCAGUGGCGAAGGCGGCUCACUGGCCCGGUACUGACGCUGAGGUGCGAAAGCGUGGGGAGCAAACAGG